Molecule: RNase P RNA, 336 nt
Filed under: uncultured Ruminococcus sp.
Lineage: Bacteria; Bacillati; Bacillota; Clostridia; Eubacteriales; Oscillospiraceae
Description: Bacterial RNase P class A
Rfam family: Bacterial RNase P class A
About the family: Ribonuclease P (RNase P) is a ubiquitous endoribonuclease, found in archaea, bacteria and eukarya as well as chloroplasts and mitochondria. Its best characterised activity is the generation of mature 5'-ends of tRNAs by cleaving the 5'-leader elements of precursor-tRNAs.
Source: RNAcentral
AGUAGAUUGAACAGUCGCGGGGAUAUUCCGAAAGGAAUACUCCGAGGAAAGUCCGGGCUCCACAGAGCAAAAGCAACGGCUAACCGCCGCCGAGGGCGACCUUAGGGAUAGUGCAACAGAGAAUAACCGCCGUUUAUACGGUAAGGGUGGAAAGGUGAGGUAAGAGCUCACCGCAGAUACGGAGACGUAUCGGGCGUGUAAACCCUGCUUGGAGCAACACCGCGGAGGGACGUAUGGCCUGCUCGGCUGUCCCGUGGAGGUGGCGCUGAGCGUAUCGGCAACGAUGCGCCAAGAUAGAUGACUGUUUUUAACAGAACCCGGCUUACAGAUUUAGUC